CCUACGGGUGGCAGCAGUGGGGAAUAUUGGACAAUGGGGGGAACCCUGAUCCAGCCAUGCCGCGUGUGUGAAGAAGGCCCUCGGGUUGUAAAGCACUUUCAGUGAGGAAGAACGCCUGGUGGUUAAUACCCAUCAGGAAAGACAUCACUCACAGAAGAAGCACCGGCUAACUCCGUGCCAGCAGCCGCGGUAAUACGGAGGGUGCGAGCGUUAAUCGGAAUUACUGGGCGUAAAGCGCGCGUAGGUGGCUUGAUAAGCCGGUUGUGAAAGCCCCGGGCUCAACCUGGGAACGGCAUCCGGAACUGUCAAGCUAGAGUGCAGGAGAGGAAGGUAGAAUUCCCGGUGUAGCGGUGAAAUGCGUAGAGAUAGGGAGGAAUACCAGUGGCGAAGGCGGCCUUCUGGACUGACACUGACACUGAGGUGCGAAAGCGUGGGUAGCAAACAGGCUUAGAUACCCCGGUAGUC
This 465-nucleotide ribosomal RNA is filed under the name Vreelandella stevensii. Its description in RNAcentral is "partial 16S ribosomal RNA". It matches the Rfam family "Bacterial small subunit ribosomal RNA", at positions 338 to 795 of the family's 1533-position model. The record is from RNAcentral. Lineage: Bacteria; Pseudomonadati; Pseudomonadota; Gammaproteobacteria; Oceanospirillales; Halomonadaceae.